GAAAAUCAAAGAGGGACAUCUAUUGUCGUUGAGAAGUUUUGUUAGACCGAAGACUUCUAUUGAAGAAGUUAUGGCAUGAUGAGAGCGUUAGUCGUCCAUUCUGAAGGUUUAGAUGACCUGGAGCAGUCCUUGAUGUUAUACCUGAAAAGCUUGAGAAGUUCUCUUUUGAUCCACAUAAGAAUCUUUUUUCUCUUCUUCUAGCACAACAAUUGGUGGAGCACUGAAAGGAUCUCUUGCCCCUUUUGGUAAAUCUUAAUUCAAAGUAAUGUUCCGCAAGAGAUCUGGUCUGCAUAUUAUCUGAUUCGUUUUGUAUAUUGGGAACUGUAUACUGACUCGACUACACCUGCUUUACCUACUACUGAAGUUCCGCAACAAACAUUUAUGGUUUAACAAGACGGUAAUUUUGGCUACCACAAGUUAUGAAAAGACAAUAUAGAGCAUUGUUUUAUUAUACCAACUAGAUAUUGCUAACUUUUUGACCUUUAAGAUGAUACAUGUUUACUUAUAUAUGUGGAUGGAUGUGGAAUUAAAACGUUAUGGUAGAGUAAUUGAUUCUCCUCUAACUGCCCAUAUUUGACAGCUCCAGGCAGGAUAAAAUACUGCUACAAUGGUUAAAACAAAGAUGAAUUAGCAGACCACUAAGGAAAUGCAAAACCAGUUCUGUCCAAAAGAACCAAGUACCGCCUAUCAGUUGAAAACAAUCAGAUGUGAAGUGAAUUUCUCACUGAAUAAAAGAAUAAUUUGGAAUCUAAUCUAAAAUAACAAAUUGGAUGAAGGAUGAUGCUACAUAAUGUUACACUAGCAAAACUGAAGCUAUUUUAUUUUGCCAGGACAGAUUAUAUCAUUCUCAUCUUACAAAUGCAUGAGUCCUUUCCUAAAGAUACAUAACAAUAAGGUCAAUGGAACAUGGAUUGAGAAAAAAAUGCAUUAGAUAAAUUUUAGAAGUCCUCCCUGUAAAGGUGGCAGGACAUGAGAGAAGCUCAGUAGUAUUAUAUUCAAGAUAAGAAAAAGAGUUAGUCGCCUAACAGAUAAAGUUGAAUCUUCUAUUUUCCUACAAAUGAAUUCUUUCUUCCUGCACUAACUUUUAUAUAGGGAUAUUCACUAUAGAGUCAUGACUAUGAUUAGGCUUUCUAUACACGUUUCAGUUGUAUUGUAUUCGCUCAAAAUAACAGUUUCGUUUUUUUCCUCUUUUCCCCUUUUCCUGCAAUCUAUAAUAGCAUUCAGUGUGUACUGAUUCCAUAGUCACUGUGCCUUACACAAUGUGUGCAGUCUUUAACUACAAUUAUGUUAUCAAAGCUUUCAAUUCCCUUCAACUCCUUCAAAUUCAAAAUAAUAUUUGGAGUCAGUCUACUAGCAUCUAGAGUUGAAAGUGUCUUUAAAGAUUAACAAUAACCAAUUUUUCUUGAAUUGUUGAAGGUGCAGAGAACCAGUUUUGAAGAACUCCAAAGAGAUGGUGAAAGGCGUGUUUGAAUCAGAAAACAAAGAGGAAGAGAAGUGCAAAGAAUGCAAUAGUGUUGGCCGUGGGGAGUGCUUUGGAGACGCUGUGCAGACUGAUUAGUGAUGGGAAAAUACAUAUAGUUGGGGUUUACACAGUGUUUCACUCGCUCCGCAUUGGGAUACUCUGCACGAUUAGUACUGGCAGUAAGAAAUCAUCAGGCCAUUCUUUUCACAAACAACAAGGAAUUACAACGAGCCAUUGCUGACCUUGCUUGGCUUCUCGAAAUAACCAUGCUUCUUAACAGUGUUCAGCCUAUAAUAUCAGGUGUUGCUAUUGGAGGUGGAUGGCAAGGUUUAGUGGUUUAUAUCUAAUUGGGAUCUUACUAUGAUUUUUGGUAUUCCCCUAGGAUAUACUCUUGCUUAUAUGGCUAACUUGGGAGUCGUGGUAAAUAAAUUCUCAUUCUGAAAGUUGCAUAUGUAUUAAGUAUAUCAAAGUGUAAUCUCAGUCUGCAUUUGUAAGCAUCUUUUAUGGGGAACUACUGG
Lycium barbarum (goji berry) is the source of this 1980-nucleotide long non-coding RNA. RefSeq lists it as uncharacterized. The transcript has 5 exons. The record is from RefSeq and is a predicted model, not a curated record. Lineage: Eukaryota; Viridiplantae; Streptophyta; Magnoliopsida; Solanales; Solanaceae.